Molecule: ribosomal RNA, 497 nt
Filed under: uncultured bacterium
Lineage: Bacteria
Description: partial 16S ribosomal RNA
Rfam family: Bacterial small subunit ribosomal RNA
Source: RNAcentral
GACGAACGCUGGCGGCGUGCCUAAUACAUGCCAGUUGAGCGCUGAAGGUUGGUACUUGUACCAACUGGAUGAGCAGCGAACGGGUGAGUAACGCGUGGGGAAUCUGCCUUUGAGCGGGGGACAACAUUUGGAAACGAAUGCUAAUACCGCAUAAAAACUUUAAACACAAGUUUUAAGUUUGAAAGAUGCAAUUGCAUCACUCAAAGAUGAUCCCGCGUUGUAUUAGCUAGUUGGUGAGGUAAAGGCUCACCAAGGCGAUGAUACAUAGCCGACCUGAGAGGGUGAUCGGCCACAUUGGGACGGAGACACGGCCCAAACCCCUACGGGAGGCAGCAGUAGGGAAUCUUCGGCAAUGGACGAAAGUCUGACCGAGCAACGCCGCGUGAGUGAAGAAGGUUUUCGGAUCGUAAAACUCUGUUGGUAGAGAAGAACGUUGGUGAGAGUGGAAAGCUCAUCAAGUGACGGUAACUACCCAGAAAGGGACGGCUAACUACGUG